ACAGGGAUUGCCCUAGUAACGGCGAGUGAAGCGGCAACAGCUCAAAUUUGAAAUCUGGCUCUUUUAGGGUCCGAGUUGUAAUUUGCAGAGGGCGCUUUGGCGUUGGCAGCGGUCCAAGUUCCUUGGAACAGGACGUCACAGAGGGUGAGAAUCCCGUACGUGGUCGCUGGCCUUCGCCGUGUAAAGCCUCUUCGACGAGUCGAGUUGUUUGGGAAUGCAGCUCUAAAUGGGAGGUAAAUUUCUUCUAAAGCUAAAUACUGGCCAGAGACCGAUAGCGCACAAGUAGAGUGAUCGAAAGAUGAAAAGCACUUUGGAAAGAGAGUCAAAUAGCACGUGAAAUUGUUAAAAGGGAAGCGCUUGCAGCCAGACUUGCCUGUAGUUGCUCAUCCAGGCUCUUGCCUGGUGCACUCUUCUAUGGGCAGGCCAGCAUCAGUUUGGGCGGUUGGAUAAAGGUCUCUGUCAUGUACCUCCUUUYGGGGAGGCCUUAUAGGGGAGACGACAUGCAACCAGCCUGGACUGAGGUCCGCGCAUUCGCUAGGAUGCUGGCGUAAUGGCUGUAAGCGGCCCGUCUUGAAACACGGACCAAGGAGUCUAACAUCUAUGCGAGUGUUUGGGUGUCAAGCCCGAACGCGCAAUGAAAGUGAACGGAGGUGGGAACCCUUAAGGGUGCACCAUCGACCGAUCCUGAUGUCUUCGGAAGGAUUUGAGUAAGAGCAUAGCUGUUGGGACCCGAAAGAUGGUGAACUAUGCUUGAAUAGGGUGAAGCCAGAGGAAACUCUGGUGGAGGCUCGCAGCGGUUCUGACGUGCAAAUCGAUCGUCAAAUUUGGGCAUAGGGGCGAAAGACUAAUCGAACUAUCUAGUAGC
RNAcentral lists this ribosomal RNA (865 nucleotides) under Leptosphaeria urticae. RNAcentral's name for it is "partial large subunit ribosomal RNA". The record is from RNAcentral. Lineage: Eukaryota; Fungi; Ascomycota; Dothideomycetes; Pleosporales; Leptosphaeriaceae.